AGAGUUUGAUCCUGGCUCAGGAUGAACGCUGGCGGCGUGCCUAACACAUGCAAGUCGAGCGUGAAAUUUAUGAAUGAUCCUUCGGGUGAAUGAUUGAAUGGAAAGCGGCGGACGGGUGAGUAACGCGUAGGUAACCUGCCUUAUGCUGGGGGAUAGCCAUUGGAAACGAUGAUUAAUACCCCAUAAGACUACAGUAUCGCAUGAUACAGUGGUAAAAGAUUUAUCGGCAUAAGAUGGACCUGCGUCUGAUUAGCUAGUUGGUAAGGUAAUGGCUUACCAAGGCGACGAUCAGUAGCCGACCUGAGAGGGUGAUCGGCCACACUGGAACUGAGACACGGUCCAGACUCCUACGGGAGGCAGCAGUGGGGAAUAUUGCACAAUGGGCGCAAGCCUGAUGCAGCAACGCCGCGUGAGUGAUGAAGGUUUUCGGAUCGUAAAACUCUUUUCUUAGGGAAGAAGAAGUGACGUACCUAAGAAUAAGCACCGCUAACUA
RNAcentral lists this ribosomal RNA (493 nucleotides) under uncultured bacterium. RNAcentral describes it as "bacterial SSU rRNA". It matches the Rfam family "Bacterial small subunit ribosomal RNA", at positions 8 to 503 of the family's 1533-position model. The record is from RNAcentral.